UUGUUUACUGGUGCGGCAACAUCAAGAUUCACAUGGUUGCCCUAUUGCAAGUGUUUAGGGAAUGAGAAUCUUGAUGAUGCUGCAUCAGAAAUCAA
Helianthus annuus (common sunflower) is the source of this 95-nucleotide non-coding RNA. NCBI's taxonomy places the organism in Eukaryota, Viridiplantae, Streptophyta, Magnoliopsida, Asterales, Asteraceae. The record is from Rfam.